GUCUAAAAUGACUCUCGGCAACGGAUAUCUCGGCUCUUGCAUCGAUGAAGAACGUAGCGAAAUGCGAUACUUGGUGUGAAUUGCAGAAUCCCGUGAACCAUCGAGUCUUUGAACGCAAGUUGCGCCCGAAGCCAUUAGGCCGAGGGCACGCCNGCCUGGGUGUCACUAA
Molecule: ribosomal RNA, 169 nt
Filed under: Adesmia corymbosa
Lineage: Eukaryota; Viridiplantae; Streptophyta; Magnoliopsida; Fabales; Fabaceae
Description: 5.8S ribosomal RNA
Rfam family: 5.8S ribosomal RNA
About the family: 5.8S ribosomal RNA (5.8S rRNA) is a component of the large subunit of the eukaryotic ribosome. It is transcribed by RNA polymerase I as part of the 45S precursor that also contains 18S and 28S rRNA. Functionally, it is thought that 5.8S rRNA may be involved in ribosome translocation.
Source: RNAcentral